This 373-nucleotide ribosomal RNA is filed under the name uncultured organism. RNAcentral's name for it is "partial 16S ribosomal RNA". It matches the Rfam family "Bacterial small subunit ribosomal RNA", at positions 527 to 896 of the family's 1533-position model. The record is from RNAcentral.
GUAGGUGGCAAGCGUUGUCCGGAAUUAUUGGGCGUAAAGGGCUCGCAGGCGGUUUCUUAAGUCUGAUGUGAAAGCCCCCGGCUCAACCGGGGAGGGUCAUUGGAAACUGGGGAACUUGAGUGCAGAAGAGGAGAGUGGAAUUCCACGUGUAGCGGUGAAAUGCGUAGAGAUGUGGGGGAACACCAGUGGCGAAGGCGACUCUCUGGUCUGUAACUGACGCUGAGGAGCGAAAGCGUGGGGAGCGAACAGGGAUUAGAUACCCUGGUAGUCCACGCCGUAAACGAUGAGUGCUAAGUGUUAGGGGGUUUCCCGCCCCUUAGUGCUGCAGCUAACGCAUUAAGCACUCCGCCUGGGGAGUACGGUCGCAAGACUG